GACUGGGGCGGUCGCCUCCUAAAGCGUAACGGAGGCGCGCGAAGGUUGGCUCAGAGCGGUCGGAAAUCGCUCGUUGAGUGCAAUGGCAGAAGCCAGCCUGACUGCGAGACUGACAAGUCGAGCAGAGUCGAAAGACGGCCAUAGUGAUCCGGUGGUCCCGAGUGGAAGGGCCAUCGCUCAACGGAUAAAAGGUACUCCGGGGAUAACAGGCUGAUCUCCCCCAAGAGCUCA
This 231-nucleotide ribosomal RNA is filed under the name Micromonas pusilla. Its description in RNAcentral is "partial Bacterial large subunit ribosomal RNA". It matches the Rfam family "Bacterial large subunit ribosomal RNA", at positions 2272 to 2502 of the family's 2925-position model. The record is from RNAcentral. Lineage: Eukaryota; Viridiplantae; Chlorophyta; Mamiellophyceae; Mamiellales; Mamiellaceae.